AUUGAACACUGGCGGAAUGCUUUACACAUGCAAGUCGAACGGUAGAGGGGCAACCCUUGAGAGUGGCGAACGGGUGAGUAAUGUAUCGGAACAUGCCCAGUCGUGGGGGAUAACGUAGCGAAAGUUACGCUAAUACCGCAUACGAUCUAUGGAUGAAAGCGGGGGAUCGCAAGACCUCGCGCGAUUGGAGUGGCCGAUAUCAGAUUAGGUAGUUGGUGGGGUAAAGGCCUACCAAGCCGACGAUCUGUAGCUGGUCUGAGAGGACGACCAGCCACGCUGGGAAUGAGACACGGCCCAGACUCCUACGGGAGGCAGCAGUGGGGAAUGUUGGACAAUGGGCGCAAGCCUGAUCCAGCCAUUCCGCGUGCAGGAAGAAGGCCUUCGGGUUGUAAACUGCUUUUGUACGGAACGAAACGCGCUGAGCUAAUACCUCGGCGUAAUGACGGUACCGUAAGAAUAAGCACCGGCUAACUACGUGCCAGCCGCCGCCGUAA
RNAcentral lists this ribosomal RNA (494 nucleotides) under uncultured bacterium. RNAcentral describes it as "partial 16S ribosomal RNA". It matches the Rfam family "Bacterial small subunit ribosomal RNA", at positions 30 to 523 of the family's 1533-position model. The record is from RNAcentral.